UGAAGACUAACACUAUCCAGCAUAGGGCACGAAAGGCACCUUCCAAGUUUUAACCACAAACUCCUUCAGCCAAGCAUGGAAGAAUGACAUCAAUUGACUCAAGGCCAGAUCCGGGAAAACAGGAAUGCAAUUGUGAUCCGGGAGAACAGGCAUGGCUAAUUGUGCGGUCGCUGUUGGAAAUAUCUCGUUACUCAUCAUAUUACCUCCUACCGAUGCACAAUACUGUGAAGCAUUCUCUGCCCAUCAAACUGACCGACGAAGCACAGCACCCAAGCCCUUUUGAUUUGCUACAAGUUAAAUUUGCAUCAAGUGCAUCCAAGAAAUUUUGUCCGGAGAAAUCUUGCCAUUGGUGGUUGUAUUGGAUUUACGCGAGAUGAUGUUUCAACCAAUGUGGAGCACCGGUUGCUGCUGGUUGCGUUGGAU
Molecule: long non-coding RNA, 423 nt
Organism: Uranotaenia lowii
Lineage: Eukaryota; Metazoa; Arthropoda; Insecta; Diptera; Culicidae
Exons: 3
Source: RefSeq, a predicted model, not a curated record